GCCUUCGUGGUGUAAAAUGGUAAGCACAUUCGACGCUUACCCGAGAGGUCCGUGGUUCGAUUCCCGGCGAAGACG
RNAcentral lists this transfer RNA (75 nucleotides) under Stegodyphus mimosarum. It matches the Rfam family "tRNA". From Rfam's summary of the family: Transfer RNA (tRNA) molecules are approximately 80 nucleotides in length. Lineage: Eukaryota; Metazoa; Arthropoda; Arachnida; Araneae; Eresidae. The record is from Rfam by way of RNAcentral.